GGCGUACCUAUCCACCUCGGACGUCCCCCCAUGACCUACCCCAUGAUCUAAAGACGCCACUGUAACAAGCUCCCUACCCGAAGUGGACUCCAUUUUUUCAGAACAAAGACAAUAACAACGGUUUUUUAUGCAAACAAUACCUAGAGGAGUUCAACACAAACGGAGACUAGUCGAAAUCUAAUCGCAGACAACCUCGACGCCGGAAAAUGGGAGAUUUGAGAGAAUUCGAGAAUGCAAAGUGUUCAAAAA
This 249-nucleotide long non-coding RNA is filed under the name Olea europaea (common olive). RNAcentral's name for it is "long non-coding RNA (OEUR_LNC009700)". The record is from RNAcentral. Lineage: Eukaryota; Viridiplantae; Streptophyta; Magnoliopsida; Lamiales; Oleaceae.